AGGGGGUGGAGUGGAGUAGGGUGCAGUGCAGUGGAGUCCUGCUGCUGGUGGGUGCUUCUUCUAUUCUUCAGCAUUGAGAGCAACAAUUGAUGCAUUCAUUUGAUGCCAUUUGCGUGCGGGCUCUAUUCCUCCUCCGCCUUCUCUUCUGUUCACUUCUCCUCCAAUUCAAUUUCCAUCAUCCUGAUGUAUGUGUGGAUUUUGGAGAAAAAGUAUUAUUUUGUAAGCUUUUUUUUGGUGGGAACACCAAGGGGGUGUAGCUCAAAUGGAAGAGCGUGGUGAGUGGGCGGGGCUCCAUGAAAUCCAGAGCCGCACCCUAGUGAUCCAAAAUUAUCGAAAUAAAUGAUUUUUGACGUUUUGAGAGCGCACUAGAUUUCUACAAUCAUGGAAACAUUGCAACACUCUAGGAGAUUGCAACGCAACCACUUGCAAGCAUAUCUGGCAACAAAAACACAGAUCCAAAUUCUAUGAUACAACCAAAAUAUCGAGCGAGUACGUAUCUGAUCGAGUUAAAGCAGUUUAAGAAUCUCUAGUUCCAAAAUCAACAGAAUCCAAUGUAAAUAACCAUUGCGCAAUAGUAGAAUGGAGUGGAAAUCAAACAAUGAAUGUCGCAAGGCCAGGUGUAGUGGCACAACAAGAGAGCCAACAUAUAGUUUACUCAACAAGACAUCAAUUUUGGUGUCGACAAUCACAAGACGUGGGAGUCGGGCAGUGUCAGUGAAGGACCUAUAUAAAGAACCAACUCAAUAUACAACCUCAUAGAUAAGCCCCCUAUUUCUAGACUUAAUUCCAAAAACUUAAAUGAUUGACAGCUUUACAAUGUUCCAAAGGAAGCUUUGAGGUUUGGCCCUUCUACCAAAAGGAGAGCCUUAAUCAAGCUACUUUAGUAUGAGGAUGAAGUAUUACUUAUGGACACCAAGGAUACAAAUACAAUAGGAUCAAAUGAGACCAUUAACUUUGGAAACACUGAAAUUGUAUCACCCCUUUUUAUUAAACAACAAACUUUCAAUUCUUAUCCGAAUGAAGAAGAACCUAGUUCAAUACUACACAUAGGUACUAAGAACACACUUGAGACUGGACCAACAAAGAACACUAAUUACAUGGUUAUUAGGACCACAUUAUUCCCUCUCUCUCUCUCUCCC
Molecule: long non-coding RNA, 1139 nt
Filed under: Physcomitrium patens
Lineage: Eukaryota; Viridiplantae; Streptophyta; Bryopsida; Funariales; Funariaceae
Description: long non-coding RNA (PPAT_LNC010275)
Source: RNAcentral